RNAcentral lists this ribosomal RNA (610 nucleotides) under uncultured bacterium. Its description in RNAcentral is "bacterial SSU rRNA". It matches the Rfam family "Bacterial small subunit ribosomal RNA", at positions 338 to 944 of the family's 1533-position model. The record is from RNAcentral.
CCUACGGGAGGCAGCAGUAAGGAAUAUUGGACAAUGGGCGCAAGCCUGAUCCAGCCAUGCCGCGUGAAGGAUUAAGGUCCUCUGGAUUGUAAACUUCUUUUAUAGGGGACGAAAAAAGGGCAUUCUUGUUCACUUGACGGUACCCUAUGAAUAAGCACCGGCUAACUCCGUGCCAGCAGCCGCGGUAAUACGGAGGGUGCAAGCGUUAUCCGGAUUCACUGGGUUUAAAGGGUGCGUAGGCGGGCAGGUAAGUCAGUGGUGAAAUCCUAGAGCUUAACUCUAGAACUGCCAUUGAUACUAUCUGUCUUGAAUAUUGUGGAGGUAAGCGGAAUAUGUCAUGUAGCGGUGAAAUGCUUAGAUAUGACAUAGAACACCUAUUGCGAAGGCAGCUUACUACGCAUAUAUUGACGCUGAGGCACGAAAGCGUGGGGAUCAAACAGGAUUAGAUACCCUGGUAGUCCACGCCCUAAACGAUGGAUACUCGACAUACGCGAUACACUGUGUGUGUCUGAGCGAAAGCAUUAAGUAUCCCACCUGGAAGUACGUCCGCAAGGAUGAAACUUAAAGGAAUUGACGGCUUGAGAGNGCGAGGCGACGACGAGGGAGGAGG